GAACUGAAACUCAGAGGCAGUUGCUGGACAGAGUUGGUGGACUCCUCUAGAACAAGGAGAAUCUGCUUCUCUCUAGCAGUCAGGAAAGCCCAGAGGGUUUUUGUCUGGUAUCUCUGGGGUGGACCCAGAGAGCCUGUGGUUCCCUCUUCUUUGGCUUUCUUGAUAUUCUGCCUGUCCUUGCUGCUGCUGCUACUGCUGCUACAGAGAAGUGGAUUUCAACAAUGCUGGGAAACAAAUGGCCAUUGGCUCACAGGACCCCCUGUACAGACUGGGAUUGUGCUGAGGCUGGCUGCUCGGAAACAUAAGCUCCCCAACCAAAGGAGCUUUGACAGGGAUGGAAGAAUGAUCAUUCCUAGCCUGAAGCUGGGGGCAGGAGAGUUUAGAUGAGCGCAGCUUGAGCCAAGUGGAUAGGCUCCCAAGUGCUCUGGAGGAAGCAAGACCAAUGAGUCAGAGCGUAUGAAUGAAAAUACAUCGAGUAUUGGAAGGGUUGGCCAGGAAUGCCUUGUCAUCAGGAGGAAGCCAUAUAACAGUGAGUGCCAGAAGAUGGAGAGUGAAAAAGGAAAAAGGUUAAGAAGAAAAUAAGGCAUACCAGAGAACACCCUGGAAAGAUGGGUAGAUCUGGAGUAGCAUAUUAUGGGAC
This 640-nucleotide long non-coding RNA is filed under the name Monodelphis domestica (gray short-tailed opossum). Its description in RNAcentral is "lncRNA (ENSMODG00000040809.1)". Lineage: Eukaryota; Metazoa; Chordata; Mammalia; Didelphimorphia; Didelphidae. The record is from RNAcentral.